This 455-nucleotide ribosomal RNA is filed under the name uncultured organism. RNAcentral's name for it is "partial 16S ribosomal RNA". It matches the Rfam family "Bacterial small subunit ribosomal RNA", at positions 329 to 800 of the family's 1533-position model. The record is from RNAcentral.
ACGUACACUCCUACGGGAGGCAGCAGUGGGGAAUAUUGGACAAUGGGCGCAAGCCUGAUCCAGCCAUGCCGCGUGAGUGAUGAAGGCCCUAGGGUUGUAAAGCUCUUUCACCGGUGAAGAUAAUGACGGUAACCGGAGAAGAAGCCCCGGCUAACUUCGUGCCAGCAGCCGCGGUAAUACGAAGGGGGCUAGCGUUGUUCGGAUUUACUGGGCGUAAAGCGCACGUAGGCGGACUAUUAAGUCAGGGGUGAAAUCCCGGGGCUCAACCCCGGAACUGCCUUUGAUACUGGUAGUCUUGAGUUCGAGAGAGGUGAGUGGAAUUCCGAGUGCAGAGGUGAAAUUCGUAGAUAUUCGGAGGAACACCAGUGGCGAAGGCGGCUCACUGGCUCGAUACUGACGCUGAGGUGCGAAAGCGUGGGGAGCAAACAGGAUUAGAAACCCUUGUAGUCCCAUGA